RNAcentral lists this ribosomal RNA (524 nucleotides) under uncultured bacterium. Its description in RNAcentral is "partial 16S ribosomal RNA". It matches the Rfam family "Bacterial small subunit ribosomal RNA", at positions 28 to 523 of the family's 1533-position model. The record is from RNAcentral.
GACGAACGCUGGCGGCGUGCCUAAUACAUGCAAGUCGAACGCUUCUUUUCCCACCGGAGCUUGCUCCACCGGGAAAAGAGGAGUGGCGAACGGGUGAGUAACACGUGGGUAACCUGCCCAUCAGAAGGGGAUAACACUUGGAAACAGGUGCUAAUACCGUAUAACAAUCGAAACCGCAUGGUUUCGUUUUGAAAGGCGCUUUACGGUGCCGCUGAUGGAUGGGCCCGCGGUGCAUUAGCUAGUUGGUGAGGUAACGGCUCACCAAGGCCACGAUGCAUAGCCGAGCUGAGAGGGUGAUCGGCCACAUUGGGACUGAGACACGGCCCAAACUCCUACGGGAGGCAGCAGUAGGGAAUCUUCGGCAAUGGACGAAAGUCUGACCGAGCAACGCCGCGUGAGUGAAGAAGGUUUUCGGAUCGUAAAACUCUGUUGUUAGAGAAGAACAAGGGUGAGAGUAACUGUUCACCCCUUGACGGUAUCUAACCAGAAAGCCACGGCUAACUACGUGCCAGCCGCCGCCGUAA